GCCAGGCACAGUGGCAUAUGCCUGUAAUCCCAGUGGCUUGAGAGGCUGAGGCAGGAGGAUUACGAAUUCAAAGAAGCACUAAGAACUCUGGGAGAUCCUGUCUCUA
Molecule: small RNA, 106 nt
Filed under: Marmota monax (woodchuck)
Lineage: Eukaryota; Metazoa; Chordata; Mammalia; Rodentia; Sciuridae
Source: RNAcentral